This 1200-nucleotide ribosomal RNA is filed under the name Pseudomonas aeruginosa. Its description in RNAcentral is "bacterial SSU rRNA". The record is from RNAcentral. Lineage: Bacteria; Pseudomonadati; Pseudomonadota; Gammaproteobacteria; Pseudomonadales; Pseudomonadaceae.
CCUAACACAUGCAAGUCGAGCGGAUGAAGGGRGCUUGCUCCUGGAUUCAGCGGCGGACGGGUGAGUAAUGCCUAGGAAUCUGCCUGGUAGUGGGGGAUAACGUCCGGAAACGGGCGCUAAUACCGCAUACGUCCUGAGGGAGAAAGUGGGGGAUCUUCGGACCUCACGCUAUCAGAUGAGCCUAGGUCGGAUUAGCUAGUUGGUGGGGUAAAGGCCUACCAAGGCGACGAUCCGUAACUGGUCUGAGAGGAUGAUCAGUCACACUGGAACUGAGACACGGUCCAGACUCCUACGGGAGGCAGCAGUGGGGAAUAUUGGACAAUGGGCGAAAGCCUGAUCCAGCCAUGCCGCGUGUGUGAAGAAGGUCUUCGGAUUGUAAAGCACUUUAAGUUGGGAGGAAGGGCAGUAAGUUAAUACCUUGCUGUUUUGACGUUACCAACAGAAUAAGCACCGGCUAACUUCGUGCCAGCAGCCGCGGUAAUACGAAGGGUGCAAGCGUUAAUCGGAAUUACUGGGCGUAAAGCGCGCGUAGGUGGUUCAGCAAGUUGGAUGUGAAAUCCCCGGGCUCAACCUGGGAACUGCAUCCAAAACUACUGAGCUAGAGUACGGUAGAGGGUGGUGGAAUUUCCUGUGUAGCGGUGAAAUGCGUAGAUAUAGGAAGGAACACCAGUGGCGAAGGCGACCACCUGGACUGAUACUGACACUGAGGUGCGAAAGCGUGGGGAGCAAACAGGAUUAGAUACCCUGGUAGUCCACGCCGUAAACGAUGUCGACUAGCCGUUGGGAUCCUUGAGAUCUUAGUGGCGCAGCUAACGCGAUAAGUCGACCGCCUGGGGAGUACGGCCGCAAGGUUAAAACUCAAAUGAAUUGACGGGGGCCCGCACAAGCGGUGAGCAUGUGGUUUAUUCGAAGCAACGCGAAGAACCUUACCUGGCCUUGACAUGCUGAGAACUUUCCAGAAAUGGAUUGGUGCCUUCGGGAACUCAGAACACAGGUGCUGCAUGCUGUCGUCAGCUCGUGUCGUGAGAUGUUGGUAAGUCCCGUAACGAGCGCACCCUUUCCUUAGUUACCAGCACCUUCGGGGACCCUUUAGAACUGCGUGACAACCGAGAGUGGGAUGACGUCAGUCAUCAUGCUACGUCAGGCUCCCACCUGCUCAAUGUCGGUCAAGGGUGCUAUCCCAAGGGGAACUAAUUCUCA